GAGACAGUUCGGUCCCUAUCCACCAUGGGCGCUGGAAGCUUGAGAGGAGUCGCUCCUAGUACGAGAGGACCGGAGCGAACAGACCGCUGGUGUAUCAGUCGUCGUGCCAACGGCGCUGCUGAUUAGCCACGUCUGGAUCGGAUAACCGCUGAAAGCAUCUAAGCGGGAAGCCGACCUCGAGAUGAGGCUUCCCAUCCCCUCGAGGGAGUAAGGGCCGUGGGAGACCACCACGUUGAUAGGCGGGACGUGCAAGCGCAGCGAUGCGUUCAGCGGACCCGUACUAAUUGCCCGAGGUCUUGAUUUG
This 304-nucleotide ribosomal RNA is filed under the name Actinomycetota bacterium. Its description in RNAcentral is "partial 23S ribosomal RNA". It matches the Rfam family "Bacterial large subunit ribosomal RNA", at positions 2623 to 2925 of the family's 2925-position model. The record is from RNAcentral. Lineage: Bacteria; Bacillati; Actinomycetota.